RNAcentral lists this ribosomal RNA (654 nucleotides) under uncultured bacterium. RNAcentral's name for it is "bacterial SSU rRNA". It matches the Rfam family "Bacterial small subunit ribosomal RNA", at positions 232 to 885 of the family's 1533-position model. The record is from RNAcentral.
CGCGGCCUAUCAGCUUGUUGGUGGGGUGAUGGCCUACCAAGGCUUUGACGGGUAGCCGGCCUGAGAGGGUGACCGGUCACAUUGGGACUGAGAUACGGCCCAGACUCCUACGGGAGGCAGCAGUGGGGAAUAUUGCACAAUGGGCGCAAGCCUGAUGCAGCGACGCCGCGUGAGGGAUGGAGGCCUUCGGGUUGUAAACCUCUUUCGCUCAUGGUCAAGCCGCGACGUGGGUUGUGGUGAGGGUAGUGGGUAAAGAAGCGCCGGCUAACUACGUGCCAGCAGCCGCGGUAAUACGUAGGGCGCGAGCGUUGUCCGGAAUUAUUGGGCGUAAAGGGCUUGUAGGCGGUUGGUCGCGUCUGCCGUGAAAUUCUCUGGCUUAACUGGGGGCGUGCGGUGGGUACGGGCUGACGUGAGUGCGGUAGGGGAGACUGGAACUCCUGGUGUAGCGGUGGAAUGCGCAGAUAUCAGGAAGAACACCGGUGGCGAAGGCGGGUCUCUGGGCCGUUACUGACGCUGAGGAGCGAAAGCGUGGGGAGCGAACAGGAUUAGAUACCCUGGUAGUCCACACUGUAAACGUUGGGCACUAGGUGUGGGGGCCACCCGUGGUUUCUGCGCCGUAGCUAACGCUUUAAGUGCCCCGCCUGGGGAGUACGG